AUUGAACGCUGGCGGCAUGCCUUACACAUGCAAGUCGAACGGCAGCACGGGAGCUUGCUCCUGGUGGCGAGUGGCGAACGGGUGAGUAAUGCAUCGGAACGUGCCCUGAAGUGGGGGAUAACGUAGCGAAAGUUACGCUAAUACCGCAUAUUCUGUGAGCAGGAAAGCAGGGGAUCUUCGGACCUUGCGCUUUUGGAGCGGCCGAUGUCGGAUUAGCUAGUUGGUGGGUAAAGGCCCACCAAGGCGACGAUCCGUAGCGGGUCUGAGAGGAUGAUCCGCCACACUGGAACUGAGACACGGUCCAGACUCCUACGGGAGGCAGCAGUGGGGAAUUUUGGACAAUGGGCGCAAGCCUGAUCCAGCCAUGCCGCGUGAGUGAAGAAGGCCU
RNAcentral lists this ribosomal RNA (388 nucleotides) under uncultured bacterium. Its description in RNAcentral is "bacterial SSU rRNA". It matches the Rfam family "Bacterial small subunit ribosomal RNA", at positions 30 to 417 of the family's 1533-position model. The record is from RNAcentral.